CAGUCGCCACGGUAAUACGUAGGGUGCAAGCGUUAAUCGGAAUUACUGGGCGUAAAGCGUGCGCAGGUGGUUUGUUAAGACAGAUGUGAAAUCCCCGGGCUCAACCUGGGAACUGCAUUUGUGACUGGCAAGCUAGAGUGUGUCAGAGGAUGGUGGAAUUCCCGGUGUAGCGGUGAAAUGCGUAGAGAUCGGGAGGAACAUCAGUGGCGAAGGCGGCCAUCUGGGACAACACUGACGCUGAGGCACGAAAGCGUGGGGAGCAAACAGGAUUAGAUACCCCAGUAGUCCCUGUCUCUUAUAC
RNAcentral lists this ribosomal RNA (301 nucleotides) under uncultured bacterium. Its description in RNAcentral is "partial 16S ribosomal RNA". It matches the Rfam family "Bacterial small subunit ribosomal RNA", at positions 509 to 807 of the family's 1533-position model. The record is from RNAcentral.